RNAcentral lists this ribosomal RNA (867 nucleotides) under Niesslia sp. 'griseo-ochraceum'. RNAcentral's name for it is "LSU rRNA". It matches the Rfam family "Eukaryotic large subunit ribosomal RNA", at positions 38 to 938 of the family's 3401-position model. The record is from RNAcentral. Lineage: Eukaryota; Fungi; Ascomycota; Sordariomycetes; Hypocreales; Niessliaceae.
GCAUAUCAAUAAGCGGAGGAAAAGAAACCAACAGGGAUUGCCCAGUAACGGCGAGUGAAGCGGCAACAGCUCAAAUUUGAAAUCUGGCCUCACGGCCCGAGUUGUAAUUUGCAGAGGAUGCUUUUGGCGCGGCGCCUUCCGAGUGCCCUGGAACGGGACGCCAUAGAGGGUGAGAGCCCCGUCUGGUUGGAUGCCUAGCCUCUGUAAAGCUCCUUCGACGAGUCGAGUAGUUUGGGAAUGCUGCUCAAAAUGGGAGGUAUAUGUCUUCUAAAGCUAAAUAUUGGCCAGAGACCGAUAGCGCACAAGUAGAGUGAUCGAAAGAUGAAAAGCACUUUGAAAAGAGGGUUAAAUAGUACGUGAAAUUGUUGAAAGGGAAGCGCUUGUGACCAGACUUGGGCUUGGUGAAUCAUCCGGCGUUCUCGCCGGUGCACUUUGCCUGUCCAGGCCAGCAUCAGUUCGCUCCGGGGGAUAAAGGCGUGGGGAAUGUGGCUCCUCCGGGAGUGUUAUAGCCCCGCGUGUAAUACCCUGUGGCGGACUGAGGUUCGCGCUCCGCAAGGAUGCUGGCGUAAUGGUCAUCAGCGACCCGUCUUGAAACACGGACCAAGGAGUCGUCUUCGUAUGCGAGUGUUCGGGUGUCAAACCCCUACGCGUAAUGAAAGUGAACGCAGGUGAGAGCUUCGGCGCAUCAUCGACCGAUCCUGAUGUUCUCGGAUGGAUUUGAGUAAGAGCAUACGGGGCCGGACCCGAAAGAAGGUGAACUAUGCCUGUAUAGGGUGAAGCCAGAGGAAACUCUGGUGGAGGCUCGCAGCGGUUCUGACGUGCAAAUCGAUCGUCAAAUAUGGGCAUGGGGGGCGAAAGACUAAUCGA